UUAACAACCAGGAGCAGUAUUAAGGAUUAGUAAAACACGAUUUAAUGUUAAGUAUUACUGCUUAAAAUUUAGGGUCUUCAACAACUGUCUCCACCCCUACCACGGCGAAAUCAACAGACAAAGUCCCCUUGGAUGACAAGGGAAGUGCUUCCCCCACAAUAAUGAUUGUAGCGGCAUCUUUAGGCGCAGUGUUAUUCGUGUCCUUGAUCAUUCUUGUUGCAGUCAUACUUCUAAGGCGUAAAAAACGUCAAGGAAAAGAUGCAGAAAGUGCACCGCCGAAAAACCACUCGCUAAAGAUGUCAGCACCGAAGAACAGCGAGAAAGACCAAUUUGGAGAGAGCCAAUAUGAAUCUGUGAAUCCCGUUGAAGCCGCAAAGCUCCUUGGGUCAGCAAACAGCACCCCUGAUAAGAGUGAGACUAAGUUCGAUUCGCCACCAGAAUAUUGUGAAUAGGCCGUUGUCAACAAGGCAAACAAGAAGCGAAAGGAGGGAGACCUUGUGUACGCUCAACUCGCCGAUUUUGACAAUGAAACUGACUCCGCCAAACCACCAAAACCACCCAGCUAUGAGCCCACGAUAUAUGCUGAUGUUGAAGAACUGCCUCCAGAGUUGCCUGGAAGAGAGGAUCCAGACUUCCCACAGCCAACGUAUGCGAAUCUGGAAACGACUGGUGUCUGAAUGAAAUAAGAAAUGAAAUAAAUGUAUGUUUAUUUCCAGUUUAGAAUGAUAUAUAAAUGCAUUUGAAUUAAGUUUCCGCUAGAGUGUAACGAGGAAAAGUCUUGAUAUAAUUUUCUUCAGUUACUUAAGAUAACAUUUAUUAACGGUAAAGAUAAGUCUCAUUAUAAUUUUUAAGCAUAAAUGUUUAGGGUUUAAGAAAGAUGUUGUAUGAGAGAAAUCUUUGUCUCUUACCUAGCUUGUAGGAAUAAAGUAACAUGCUGUCUGCAUCUUGCAACUUAUACAGAUUGAUAGAUUGAAUUUGUAUUGUAUCUGUAGUAAAUUAUUAUUUUCCACAAACGCGUUGGACACAAGUUGGCGCCCAUCCACUUGUGUUGUGCAAACGAGAGCGAAUGGAUAUCUUUCCUGUUACGGGUGAUCUAUCAUGGUGUCUGGGCCAAUAGAAGUUUUAAAAGAGUAUUGUUUUAAGACUGUAUUAAAGUGUCAAUAGUAUUUAGCUUGAAGAAAACUAAUUAGGGACACCGUUUACGUAUUACAAUCUACGUAAGCUACAUAGAGUUAAAAUUAUUUACAGUUCAAUUCCUAAU
This is a long non-coding RNA of Stylophora pistillata, 1261 nucleotides long. NCBI's taxonomy places the organism in Eukaryota, Metazoa, Cnidaria, Anthozoa, Scleractinia, Pocilloporidae. The record is from RefSeq and is a predicted model, not a curated record.